CUACGGGGCGCUGCAGUGAGGAAUAUUGCGCAAUGGGGGAAACCCUGACGCAGCGACGCCGCGUGGAUGAUGAAGGCCUUAGGGUCGUAAAAUCCUGUCAGGUGGGAAGAAGUGGAUAUAGAUUAAUACUCUAUUUCUUUGACGGUACCACCAAAGGAAGCACCGGCUAACUCCGUGCCAGCAGCCGCGGUAAUACGGAGGGUGCAAACGUUGUUCGGAAUUACUGGCGUAAAGCGCGCGUAGGCGGUUUGUUAAGUCAGAUGUGAAAGUCCAUGGCUCAACUAUGGAGGUGCAUUUGAAACUGGCAGACUAGAGUACUGGAGGGGGUGAUGGAAUUCCCGGUGUAGAGGUGAAAUUCGUAGAUAUCGGGAGGAAUACCGGUGGCGAAGGCGAUCACCUGGCCAGAUACUGACGCUGAGGUGCGAAAGCGUGGGGAGCAAACAGGAUUAGAUACCCCCGUAGUC
This 464-nucleotide ribosomal RNA is filed under the name uncultured bacterium. RNAcentral describes it as "partial 16S ribosomal RNA". It matches the Rfam family "Bacterial small subunit ribosomal RNA", at positions 339 to 795 of the family's 1533-position model. The record is from RNAcentral.